RNAcentral lists this ribosomal RNA (482 nucleotides) under uncultured bacterium. RNAcentral's name for it is "bacterial SSU rRNA". It matches the Rfam family "Bacterial small subunit ribosomal RNA", at positions 24 to 507 of the family's 1533-position model. The record is from RNAcentral.
UCAGGAUGAACGCUAGCGGCAGGCUUAACACAUGCAAGUCGAGGGGUAUAGUUCUUCGGAAUUAGAGACCGGCGCACGGGUGCGUAACGCGUAUGCAAUCUACCUUUCACAGAGGGAUAGCCCAGAGAAAUUUGGAUUAAUACCUCAUAGUAUAGCAGUUUCGCAUGAAACCACUAUUAAAGUCACAACGGUGAAAGAUGAGCAUGCGUCCCAUUAGCUUGUUGGUAAGGUAACGGCUUACCAAGGCAACGAUGGGUAGGGGUCCUGAGAGGGAGAUCCCCCACACUGGUACUGAGACACGGACCAGACUCCUACGGGAGGCAGCAGUGAGGAAUAUUGGACAAUGGGCGCAAGCCUGAUCCAGCCAUGCCGCGUGCAGGAUGACGGUCCUAUGGAUUGUAAACUGCUUUUGUACAGGAAGAAACCCUUUCACGUGUGGAAGAUUGGCGGUACUGUAAGAAUAAGGAUCGGCUAACUCCGUG